CUGUUUUCUCCUUGGUAUUUACAGGAAGCAGAAGAAGAGGAGCAAAAAUGUGCAAAUGAGCUGGAAUUGUUAGAGAAGCAUAAACAAUUGCUUGAGAGUGGUGUCAACGAGGGUCUCAGUGAAGCCACAAAUGAACUGCAUGAUAUUCAGAGACAAUACCAAAUUGUUAUGCAAACAACAACAGAAGAGAGCAGGAAAGCAGGUGAUAAUUUGAAUCGCCUCUUGGAAGUGAUUACUACUCAUGUAGUAUCCAUAGAGAAAUAUCUCGAUGAACAGAAUUCGAAAAUUGACAGAGAUUACGAAGAAUUCAUGUCUGAAGAUCUACUGUCAACCUUGACCAGAAUUCUAGACAGUUAUAAAAAGAAGGCUGAAAGCGUGUAAUUAUCAAAAAGCUGAAGAUGAAAAUUUGUGCUUAUGAAGCUCCAGUGUGGUGUCUCCUAAAAGGAUGGUUACUUCCUGCUUUUAGCAGCUAACUUGGUUUUAAUGACAUGAUAAUGAACUUCCUUUGCUUUACUGACACAAAUAUAGUAAAGGAUUAAAAUAUUUGUAACCAAAAAAACAAAAGCUUUGCUUACUCUUCCUACUGCCAAAAUACUUCUACAGAAUUACAUUGUCUGUGACAAGGCAAUUGUGGAACAACUUAAUUUCUCUUCUUCUUUAUAAAUAGACACCUGUGCUCUCCAGGAACAUUCAGAAAGAUGAGUAUUGUCAGCCUUUAGUUAACAGUGGACUUAGAGAUGGAACCACAAGUGUCAAUAUAGUUUGUGCAUUCUUUAAUAUUUAUAUGUAUUUAACACGAGUCAUGACAGUGCGUGUCCUUCCAUAGGCCUUCAGUUUAUCAGCAAGACCAAAUGUAAAUGUCUUCCAAUCUCCUGCCUGUUAUCUAUGAAACUGCCCAGAGACCUCUCGGGUGUGUAAAAUUAUUUUUCUUUUAGCAAAGCCUCUUUAGAAAGAUCAGUAGUAGUUAUGCAGUAAUCUUGUAAAUUUAGAAAAUGAAAGAUAGAGGCAGAAUUUCAUUUUCAAACUAAAUGCUUACAGUACCAGAUGAAAAACUUACUGUAUUUCUUAAGUAUGUUUAUUAAAUGAGCUCUAGGUAUGACAAUGUGAAUUCUGACAAUACAGCUAAUUAGUUGAAGGUAUAACUAGUCUCGUGUGCAUUGAAAUGGUCUAAAACAUCUGUGUUCUUCUACUAGAUCAGUAAAGCAGACCAUACUGGAUUUUUCUUCUUUAGGAAGAUAAAAGUGGCAUAUGGGGAGUUCCAGUCCAAAUACAUUAAAGAAAACGUAUCCCCGUCUCUUGUUCAAUGCUACAUUGUAAGCAGAGGCAGUAUCUGCUUGUCUACUCUGUUAUAUACCUUUCGUAUUCCUUAAAAAGUAGCCCUGGGUAAUUUAAUUUUGAAUGCUGGUCAGUGAUAAAUGUCACUGAUUCAAGUACACAACAAAGGAACUCCACUGUCUUCAAAAAUGUUUAGUGGUUGAUAGCUAAUUAAAAUAGCUCCUCAAUUUGCUAAUUAAAGUAUUUGAAUACAACACAGAUCCCUUGGGUACAAAUCAAAAUUUAAGUUUAAACUCUGAACACAAACUGCAAAUAAAACUAAAUUGUGUUUAAUUUUUGGCUCUUUUUGCAGAGCAUACGUAAAAUUCUGUUGUCCUGGAUGAAGUGUGUGAAUUUUCUGGCUCUUCUGAGUUUUGCUUUGUUUUCAGAUACUAUAAUGAUGGUGGUAUUUAAAUUUCUUUUUGCCCUUUGUUAUACACUGAAAGCUUACUUUCACAACUAUGACAGCUUGCUGACAAGCAGGUAGCAUUUCUUCUUUUGUUCUCUCUCACCUUUACAAACUCUUACUUUUUUUUUUUUUACAAUAGCCUAUUCCUUUCAAAUCUCAAUUACUUAAAAGCCUUUUUUUUUUUUUAUCCUUCUAAUGUAUUUAUUAUCUAAAGCAAUACUCUCCUAAUUAAGCAAAGCUAUGGGAAAUCCAAAACAAUCACGUUCCUUUAAAAUAAUUGCUUAUUUAGGGACUACAGUCUUCAUUGGCUUCCUGAUACUUGUUUGUCCCUACUUUUGUAACUGACUGUUCCCGUGUCUAUUAGUAUCUGCAGCCUCAUUGCAUGGGGCGUAGUCAGUUGACUGAGUAAACACAAUUUCAAAGGACUAAUGCUAACCCAAUAGUAAUGGGUUAAAGAAUCAAGGUCAGAACGACCUUCCUUUGUAUUCUGGAUUGUGGCUUUUAAAUAGAAUAUAAUUACUGCUUGGAUUGUGUUGUUUUGUUUUGUUUUCUUAGUUUGGUUGGAUUUUUUCAACCAGAAUGUAAAGUCUUAAUCAAAAUGUACCACUGGCACCUGCAUAUUCCAAUAGUAUGAGUAGUUUGUAAUUUUGGGGGGGUAUUGGUAGGGGUACAGUUCUCUCAUUUAUUACUAAUAUAUCUUUUGUAUAGCUUUCUUAAUAUGUCUCAAGGCUAUGUAUUUUAAACUCAAUAAAAUUACUUAAACAUGUUUCUUUGAA
Molecule: non-coding RNA, 2499 nt
Organism: Meleagris gallopavo (turkey)
Lineage: Eukaryota; Metazoa; Chordata; Aves; Galliformes; Phasianidae
Source: RefSeq, a predicted model, not a curated record